GCCCAACAGCUAGCUCGCCCAAACAAUUCCAACAAAUCCAUGUUAAUAACCCCUAAAUACCCCAGUAUUUACAUUAAACAAACCAUUUUUCCCCCUUAGUAUUGGCGAUAGAAACGGGACCACGACGCAAUAGAGAAAGUACCGCAAGGGAAUGCUGAAAGAGAAAUGAAACAAUCCAGUAAAGCUUUAAAAAGCAGAGAUUACCGCUCGUACCUUUUGCAUCAUGAUUUAGCGAGUGUACCCCGAGCAAAGAGUACUUUAGUUUGACGCCCCGAAACUACGUGAGCUACUCCAAGACAGCCUAUAUAAUAGGGCGUACCCGUCUCUGUAGCAAAAGAGUGGGGAGAGCUUUGAGUAGAGGUGAUAAACCUACCGAACCUAGUUAUAGCUGGUUAUCCAAGAAAUGAAUAGGAGUUCAGCCUCUUGGCUUCUCUUUUCACCUUAGUCUGACACCCCUAAAUUGAUAUAUUAAAGAAACCGAGAGAGUUAGUCAAAGGGGGUACAGCCCCUUUGAAUCAAGACACAACUUUACCAGGAGGGU
RNAcentral lists this ribosomal RNA (541 nucleotides) under Rhamphocottus richardsonii (grunt sculpin). RNAcentral's name for it is "partial 16S ribosomal RNA". It matches the Rfam family "Bacterial large subunit ribosomal RNA", at positions 135 to 1040 of the family's 2925-position model. Lineage: Eukaryota; Metazoa; Chordata; Actinopteri; Perciformes; Rhamphocottidae. The record is from RNAcentral.